Molecule: ribosomal RNA, 894 nt
Filed under: unidentified eubacterium RB39
Lineage: Bacteria
Description: bacterial SSU rRNA
Rfam family: Bacterial small subunit ribosomal RNA
Source: RNAcentral
UCAAUUUAACAACAUUGAAGCCCUGAACUUAACCCSGGAGAGGAAGCAGUGGCUAAAUUCUGUGCCAGCAGCCGCGGUAAUACAGAGACUGCAAGCGUUAUUCGGAUUCACUGGGCGUAAAGCGUCCGCAGGUGGUUCAUUAAGUCGUUUGUCAAAUCCCGGUGCUCAACAUCGGAACUGCGAACGAUACUGAUGAACUUGAGGAUGGAAGAGGUAAGAGGAACUGCUGGUGUAGUAGUAAAAUGSGUUAAUAUCAGCAGGAACACCAAAGGCGAAGGCAUCUUACUGGGACAUUCCUGACACUCAUGGACGAAAGCGUGGGGAGCAAAACGGAUUAGAUACCCGUGUAGUCCACGCCCUAGACGAUGAGCGCUAGAUUUGGGAAGUAUCGACCCUUUCCGAGUCGUUUUACAAGCUAACGCGUUAAGCGCUCCGCNUGGGGAGUACGGCCGCAAGGCUAAAACUCAAAGGAAUAGACGGGGACCCGCACAAGCGGUGGAACAUGUGGUUCAAUUCGACAACAAACGAGAAACCUUACCAGGGCUUGACAUGCUUCUGCAAGCGCACGGAAACGUGUGAUCUUCGAGAGUGAAGCACAGGUGCUGUAUGGCUGUCGUCAGCUCGUGCUGUGAAGUGUACCCUUCAGUGGGGUAACGAGCGCAACCUCCAUCAUUUGUUUAAUGACCAAAUGAAACCGCGGUCCUAAAGACCGAGGAAGGCGGAGAUGACGUCAAGUCAGCAUGGCCCUUACGCUNUGGGCCACACACAUGUUACAAUGGUCGGUACAAAGGGAAGCGAAGCUGCGAAGCGGAGCAAAUCCCAUCAAAGCCGACCUCAGUUCGGAUUGAAGGCUGCAACUCGCCUUCAUGAAGCCGGAAUCGCUAGUAAACGCGU